AGCUCCAAUAGCGUAUAUUAAAGUUGUUGCAGUUAAAAAGCUCGUAGUUGGAUUUCUGGUAGGAGUAGUGGCUAUGGGUCUUUGACCUAUUAAGUUGCUAUCUUCAACCAUCCUUGGAAAGAUUUAGUCUGGCAUUAAGUUGUCGGAUUAAAGAUAUCCAUCAUUUACUGUGAAAAAAUCAGAACGUUCAAAGUAAGCAUUUUGCUCUUGAAUGUAUUAGCAUGGAAUAAUGAAAUAGGACUUAGGUACUACUUUGUUGGUUUAUGCACCUAGGUAAUGAUUAAUAGGGAUAGUUGGGGGUAUUCGUAUUCCAAUGUUAGAGGUGAAAUUCUUGGAUUUUUGGAAGACGAACAACUGCGAAAGCAUUUACCAAGGAUGUUUUCAUUA
This 387-nucleotide ribosomal RNA is filed under the name Actinocyclus sp. (in: diatoms). RNAcentral's name for it is "Actinocyclus sp. (in: Bacillariophyta) partial small subunit ribosomal RNA". It matches the Rfam family "Eukaryotic small subunit ribosomal RNA", at positions 587 to 975 of the family's 1831-position model. The record is from RNAcentral. Lineage: Eukaryota; Bacillariophyta; Coscinodiscophyceae; Coscinodiscales; Hemidiscaceae.